Molecule: long non-coding RNA, 359 nt
Organism: Bombus pascuorum
Lineage: Eukaryota; Metazoa; Arthropoda; Insecta; Hymenoptera; Apidae
Exons: 3
Source: RefSeq, a predicted model, not a curated record
UGUAUGUAUACAUUUUUCAUUGAAAGCAUUCAAUUGAUCAAUCCACAAAUAAGGGGAAAUUUAAUAAGUGUCGCUGCAAGAUCUCUUGGUGGACCAUUCUCGAAGGCGUCAGUUAAAUGGAGUUCCAAGAGGGACACAAAAUUAGAGAAUACCCUGGGAUGACUUCUUGCAGGGUCCAACGAUAAUUCGUUAAAAUCUAAAAUAAGUCGUUCGACGUGUUGGACGUGAUGUACAAUGAUUUUACUUGUGUAUCGUUCGGCAGGUGCGAUAACGGCGCCGCGUUAUGAAAUCCUGAUUCAGUACAAUUAACGACAUACUGAUGGUGAUUCUCAUAACAUGUCCUCAUGCAAUAGCAACGA